AUGGAAGCUGCUGGUAUGGAAGAGAAAAUUAAGUUGGCUCUGGAGAAGAAGGACUCGUACCUCGCCGCUGCGCAGAAGGAAGCCCAAGAUAAAACUGCUCUUGCAGACCAGAAGUUGGCUUCAGCCGAAGCACUGGAAGGGGAGGUGACCAAGCUGAAGUCCUGUCUCAACAAGUCUAACCAAGAGGCGAGUUGUCUGAAGAAGGAAAAAAUUGCCCUGAAUGAAAAGCUGGAGUCUGCGGUCCACAAGAGGAAUGACACGGAGGCUUAUCUGAGAACUCUUGCCAAGAAGCUCUAUCUUAUGUUGGAAGAAUUAUGCCAAGACUUUGACGAGGAAACUGGAAGGGUUGAGACGGGUCUGGACCCUAUCGCUUCUCCAGUUUGCGACGAAACUACAAUGAACAUGCUCCGACUGGAGUCUCGUGUCGCCGGCGUCGCAAGCUACCUCACACGUCUGAAGGAGGCAGACUCAAGAGUCGACUCAUUGCUCUGGCCAAGGGCGACGCUUCAAAAUGACCUGGAAUCCUUGAUGGCUCGACUCAACGAGAUACCUGACCGAGUGCAAGAAUGGAAGAAGUCCUCCGCCCGGUGUGGCGUUGACGUGGCGCUGUCCUUGGUGCGAGUCCACUGCAAGGAAGCUCGUGAAGACAAGCUGGCGGCGAUCAAGGUCGCUAACACCAAAAGGCAUGACUUCCAGUCCUUCAUGGAGACUUUCAUCACUGCUGCCACUCGGAUCGUGGAUGGAAUCGACCUGGACGAAUUCGUCGAGCCUGCCAGCCCUCCUCCUGCCGAGUGA
RNAcentral lists this ribosomal RNA (795 nucleotides) under Triticum aestivum (bread wheat). RNAcentral describes it as "partial small subunit ribosomal RNA". The record is from RNAcentral. Lineage: Eukaryota; Viridiplantae; Streptophyta; Magnoliopsida; Poales; Poaceae.